AACGUAGGGGGCCAGCGUUGCUCGGAAUUACUGGGCGUAAAGGGUCCGUAGGCGGUGUGGCAAGUCGGAAGUGAAAUCUCUGGGCUUAACCCAGAGGCUGCUCCCGAAACUGCCAUGCUAGAGUGUGAGAGAGGCGAGUGGAAUUGCGGGUGUAGCGGUGAAAUGCGUAGAUAUCCGCAGGAACAUCCGAGGCGAAAGCGGCUCGCUGGAUCACAACUGACGCUGAGGGACGAAAGCUAGGGGAGCAAACAGG
This 253-nucleotide ribosomal RNA is filed under the name uncultured Acidobacteriota bacterium. Its description in RNAcentral is "uncultured Acidobacteria bacterium partial 16S ribosomal RNA". It matches the Rfam family "Bacterial small subunit ribosomal RNA", at positions 524 to 776 of the family's 1533-position model. The record is from RNAcentral. Lineage: Bacteria; Pseudomonadati; Acidobacteriota.